This 782-nucleotide long non-coding RNA is filed under the name Malus domestica (apple). Its description in RNAcentral is "long non-coding RNA (MDOM_LNC007251)". Lineage: Eukaryota; Viridiplantae; Streptophyta; Magnoliopsida; Rosales; Rosaceae. The record is from RNAcentral.
UCUAUUUUUGUGAAAGGAGAGCGGUGGAUUUUAACAGGGGUUACCUUAUGUUUUUGUUUUAAUUGUCCGUUAUUAGACUUUGUAUGCAAUCUUGCACCAUGAGUGGGCAUUGUUUCUGUAUGCAGACAUAUUGGCGAGCAUUGGAAGGAGGGCAGUCUGAAUGGGGGUUUGAGUUCGGUUUUGGAUGUUAUUUCUUACUCGUUUGGGUUUGAUGAGAUCUGGAACUAUUAUUGGAACAAUGUUUUAUGCAGGACCUAUUCCAAAAUAGUCUGUUUAUGAAGUCUCAGAGUGUUGGAUGGCAACGGGCUGCCUGUUUUAAAGAGGGGUUUAAUAUAUCUUAGCCUAUGUCUUGAUCUCCUAUUUCUUGUGUUUUGCGAUAUUGUUUGAGCAAUUAAUUAUGCAGACGCCUUUUUGUGUCGGAUGGAGUCCAACUCAUUAUAGGAGAGCAGCCAACUUUUGAGAGGGGGUCUUUGGCUUACGGUUUUUUUUUUUUUUUUCUUUUGUUGGCGUGAUAGAGAUAUUUUAUAGUUAUUUGAGCAAUGUUUUUUGUAUGCAGACACGUCCCCACAUUAGGUUGUAUGUGGUGUGCAAGUUUAGUGGGGGAGAAUGGGCUGCUUAUGAAAGGGGGUUUCCAUAGUUUGCCUUAUGAAUUUAUUUCAAGUUUUUUGUGAGUUUUGAGAUGCUGAACCAUUAUACUCACUGUUUAUUUGCAGAUGUGUCCCAAACUUUUCUUUUGCCUCACUCAGUUGAGUGAAAAAUGGGCUGCCUGCUUUUAGGACGAA